This 252-nucleotide ribosomal RNA is filed under the name uncultured bacterium. RNAcentral describes it as "partial 16S ribosomal RNA". It matches the Rfam family "Bacterial small subunit ribosomal RNA", at positions 524 to 776 of the family's 1533-position model. The record is from RNAcentral.
UACGGAGGAUCCAAGCGUUAUCCGGAAUCAUUGGGUUUAAAGGGUCCGUAGGCGGUUUGGUAAGUCAGUGGUGAAAGCCCAUCGCUCAACGGUGGAACGGCCAUUGAUACUGCCAGACUUGAAUUAUUAGGAAGUAACUAGAAUAUGUAGUGUAGCGGUGAAAUGCUUAGAGAUUACAUGGAAUACCAAUUGCGAAGCAGGUUACUACUAAUGGAUUGACGCUGAUGGACGAAAGCGUGGGUAGCGAACAGG